Molecule: long non-coding RNA, 790 nt
Organism: Oreochromis aureus
Lineage: Eukaryota; Metazoa; Chordata; Actinopteri; Cichliformes; Cichlidae
Source: Ensembl
CAAUCAUCCACCAUCGUUGGCAGAGCUAUUUAAUGGUGUGGCUGAGUGACAGACAGCCCUGGAGUAUUCCACCAAGCCUGGUAGUGACUCAAGCUCAGAGAAUGUAAGAUAGCGAAGGAAGUCUAAUCGCGUCUGUUUGCCUUUUUUGCACUAAACGAACGAGACGGAGAGACGGGAGGAGAGAUGUCACUAUUCACAAGAGUUGUGUGGACAUACGAGGGGAGCACUGAAGGGACUUUGCACUGUGGAUAACUGUGGAGUGGCUUCACUCUAAAUAAAGACACUGUUCAACUUUAACGAGAGGUCCGCGUCUGGGUUCACUAACUCACCACCCUUAACAGGAGGACUUGUAAGAAUGAAUGAUGCUGCGAAGCAUGAAAAUGCCAUUGGGUCUGCAGUGGUGGUUUACAGUCACGUCACAUGACAGCGUAACACCUAAACACAAGAGGGGGGAGGAGGAGCAAAGUCUGCCUGCUUUUCGCUGACACGGAAGCAGCGAAUCCGGCGACCUGGCUGUUUCGUCUUUGCCGAAUGCACAGCAUUGCAAACAAGAGCAGUAAGUAAAGGAUCAAUUUCACCAGGCUAGAAUCAAUCUGAUACCGAUGCCGAAUUGGUAUCAAUUAAUAACGUGAUAAUUAAUGUGAUAUUGAUUCAUUAAAUCCUGAAUCGAUUUCUAAAUAUAAAUGUAUUUUGCCAGAAACGCAGGGAGCUCACAAAACUAUUUCAAUAACCACUAGGUGGCGCUAUCACUUGGUGUUCGCUCGCUCUCUGUUACUUUGAAACAGUUAUC